AGGGGCCUCCCUCGCCAGGGACCCGGCGCCGUCUUCCUCACGCAGGCCUGUGUUCCUCGCAGCGGCAGCUCACGCCACCAGCCUCAGAGCCCGCCUCCCGCCUGUCUCCGCCAGCCGGUGCCUCCCGCUGACACCCGCCCCGGACGCCUGCCGCCACCACCGCCCUCCGCCGCCUUCGCCAACGCUCACUGACGCCCAGCGCUCUCCGCUGCCAGAUGCCCUCAGACUCCUGCCGCCGCCACCAGAGGCCCUCUUGCCAGGGACCCGGCUCCCUUGUUCUCACGCAGGCCUCGCCAACUUGCAGCAGCCUCAGCUCAUAGUCUCCACAGGGAACAACUUCAUCUCUCUGAACUCAACUAAUGAAAGUUCUACUUGAUCCAUUUCUGCAAACAUCUGCUGCUCUCUACCUCCAGGGUCACACGAGGCAGGUAGGUAACUCCUUUUAGCUUCCUUAGCAAGCCACCAUCAGUGUCCUUCCCAGUGUUCAUCCCAUAGCGUUACAGAGAGCACAGCUGUUCUCUGAGAAACCUCCAUCCUGCUUUCCAUGGUGGCUGCACCAACUUGCAAUUUCCUCCCAGAGCUGCAGGUAGUUUUAACAAUACUACUAAUUUUUAUUUUAACGUUAAUAUCAACCAUUUUAAUUCUUGCAUUCCAUAAGCAUGAGAUGCUUUCCAUUAACUUGUGUCACCUUCAGUUUCUAGCCUCAGUAUCUUAGCAUCUUCAGAGAACACCUCUUUCACCUCCUUGGUUAAACAUCCUCCAGAUCUCUUACUGCU
Manis pentadactyla (Chinese pangolin) is the source of this 776-nucleotide long non-coding RNA. RefSeq lists it as uncharacterized. NCBI's taxonomy places the organism in Eukaryota, Metazoa, Chordata, Mammalia, Pholidota, Manidae. The record is from RefSeq and is a predicted model, not a curated record. The transcript is spliced from 3 exons.